ACUAUAGAAUUACAACUGUACACAGACAAAAAGAAGCGAUCAUGCUGAUAUCAUACACUAACUUUCCUUCUAAAUCUCCAUUGAAUCAUGCAAUGUACUUGAGAUGUUGCUCAUAAAAGUCAAUCAACUGCCCAUAAAAAAGAGAGAGUAAAUAUAAUGAUAAUGGUCAUAAACGAGUCCUGGCAAUAUUUACUAAAGUUUGAGGCUCUCUAAAUAGGCAAUGGAUUUAUCAAUACCAGAAGUGGAUUAUUAGCCUUGAG
RNAcentral lists this unclassified non-coding RNA (260 nucleotides) under Hevea brasiliensis (rubber tree). The record is from RNAcentral. Lineage: Eukaryota; Viridiplantae; Streptophyta; Magnoliopsida; Malpighiales; Euphorbiaceae.